RNAcentral lists this ribosomal RNA (540 nucleotides) under uncultured bacterium. RNAcentral describes it as "partial 16S ribosomal RNA". It matches the Rfam family "Bacterial small subunit ribosomal RNA", at positions 355 to 888 of the family's 1533-position model. The record is from RNAcentral.
UGGGGAAUUUUGGACAAUGGGCGAAAGCCUGAUCCAGCAAUGCCGCGUGUGUGAAGAAGGCCUUCGGGUUGUAAAGCACUUUUGUCCGGAAAGAAAUCCUUGGCUCUAAUACAGUCGGGGGAUGACGGUACCGGAAGAAUAAGCACCGGCUAACUACGUGCCAGCAGCCGCGGUAAUACGUAGGGUGCAAGCGUUAAUCGGAAUUACUGGGCGUAAAGCGUGCGCAGGCGGUUUGCUAAGACCGAUGUGAAAUCCCGGGCUCAACCUGGAACUGCAUUGGUGACUGGCAGGCUAGAGUAUGGCAGAGGGGGUGAGAAUUCCACGUGUAGCAGUGAAAUGCGUAGAGAUGUGGAGGAAUACCGAUGGCGAAGGCAGCCCCUCGGCAGUCAACUGACGCUCAUGCACGAAAAGCGUGGGGAGCAAACAGGAUUAGAUACCCUGGUAGUCCACGCCCUAAAACGAUGUCAACUAGUUGUUGGGGAUUCAUUUCCUUAGUAACGUAGCUAACGCGUGAAGUUGACCGCCUGGGGAGUACGGUCG